CCUACGGGGGGCUGCAGUGGGGAAUAUUGGACAAUGGGGGGAACCCUGAUCCAGCGACGCCGCGUGAGUGAAGAAGUAUUUCGGUAUGUAAAGCUCUAUCAGCAGGGAAGAAAGAAAUGACGGUACCUGACUAAGAAGCCCCGGGUAACUACGUGCCAGCAGCCGCGGUAAUCCGUAGGGGGCAAGCGUUAUCCGGAUUUACUGGGUGUAAAGGGAGCGUAGACGGCGAUGCAAGUCUGACGUGAAAGGCGGGGGGCCAACCCCCGGACUGCUUUGGAAACUGUAUGGCUGGAGUGCAGGAGAGGUAAGUGGAAUUCCUGGUGUAGCGGUGAAAUGCGUAGAUAUUAGGAGGAACACCAGUGGCGAAGGCGGCUUACUGGACUGUAACUGACGUUGAGGCUCGAAAGCGUGGGGAGCAAACAGGAUUAGAUACCCCAGUAGUC
This 443-nucleotide ribosomal RNA is filed under the name uncultured bacterium. Its description in RNAcentral is "partial 16S ribosomal RNA". It matches the Rfam family "Bacterial small subunit ribosomal RNA", at positions 338 to 795 of the family's 1533-position model. The record is from RNAcentral.